CCAGAUGCUUCUGUGUUCCAGUCCCAGAUGGUCUAUGACAGAAGUACUGAAGGCCUGUGUGCUGGGGAGGAGACUUGCUGUUUGAGGCAGUCAGGAAGAAGCAGAAAAGCCUGGAAGAGCCUGGAAAGGCCAAGAAAAGGAAGGGAAAGGAACAGGCAAGAAUGAAGGAUGAAGACAUGGAGGUCCUUUCUACCUAGCUGACUGGAGAACUGGCAGGGUGAUGAAGCAAGAAGCACUGUGCAAAUACAGGCUGAUCCAUGGCUUAAGGUUUGCACCGCACAGCGGGUUGUACACGUGCAGUGCACCGCCGGAAUGACGUCCCAUGCCCAUUUGCUACGUAAAAAUGAUGUUGCGGCCUUAGUUUCACAUUCUCCUGGCAGUCGCCACUUAAUCCUCCUUCACCUCCCUCGGGAUGAGGGUGUUGGCCCUGCAGCUGGGAAGGCUCGCACAGAGAGUCUGUGCCUCCUGCUAGGUGAGGUUAGGCAGGAAUGACCAGAGGCUUCCUACACCAAGAGGAUGUUUAUUUUAAAUAAAGGUGAGUUUGCAGGUGAUAGCGGAGUAACACUUGUGUUUCUAGUUCCCAGCCUUACAAGGCUCCCUCUGACCUGAGCCUCAUGUUUCGGGUUGUGCUGGUUUUAGCUGGACGUUAGCCUUCGUUUGCCACCCACGCUCUCUCCAAAGGGCCAACCCCAGCACCUUCACGGGGUCCGGGAGGGCACAGAAGUUGCUGCCUCACACUGCCAGCAAAGGCCACGGUGCUUCCUCUGGUUGAUGCUGGGCUUGGCGUCGGGGAGCCCCUCCGCAGCGGCGGUCGCUUGGGGGAUGGUCCAAGCUCUCUGGGGUCAGUGGAAGGAUUUAGGUGACGCUGGUGGCACGGAUCCAGCCCUGACUCAGUAACGCUCAGCGAGAUAAAAACUCCUGCUUGCUCCCGUGGGUAAGUGCAAGUCGCACUCACCAAAUACUCAGCCUGGCCACGUGACAGAAGAAGAAUAUACACAAUAAACUGCUGAGGUUCAAUAGCAGACGUGGCAUUUGAGCCUGCAGUUAAUGAGCUCCCGGUCUGCUGCAAGCCCAUGCUUUGCCACUGAAGAUUCGACUUCAAAUUAUUUGGCCUUUCAGCAGAAGCCCAGGGAUUCCCGCAGUGACCAUAAUGCGCUGAGUAACAGCACGGGUCGUACACAGACUCUCACACAAGGGAGGAAAAGCACUAUAUAAAUUAAUUUUUCAUGUAAAAGCCCUAGAACAAUGAGUCUGUAACAUGCAUAUAUAAAUAAUUAGUGUGGUUAUAAGUUGGAUAGUUUCUUUUUAAUUGACUGUAUGUAUGCAGUUAUUGACUUUGAAAGUGACGCCAAACUUUUCUGCUAAAUCAAAGGAGCUGUCUUUCCCUCUUGGAAUGGUUUCCAUGUGGCGAGUUUAACAGGCUUUCCCCGAGUUACAGAAGGAAAAGGUUCCCCUCUUGUGGCUGCGAAGGAGAACGACAUUUUCUGCACUAUAUUCUCCACUUCCUUAGUUAUAGAGAAAUACAAAGAAGUUAGAAAAUUCCAGGCAUCUUCAUCUCGUACCACAGCACGGAACUUGGCCGCUUCUGGCGUGCUGUAGCUGUGUUUCAGCUGCCUCUUCGACGGCUGCUGUGUUUGCUUCAGGGUAAAGGGAAAUAGUCGGGGGGGAAUUGAUCUAAGUUAUUUAAAUUAAAACCAGAAGUCGUGAUCUAUAUCAGCAGUUAGAAACAUUAGAUUUAAAGAAAAGCUGGUUUGCAUUUGUACCUUUAAAACACUUUCUUAGUAAACGCUUGCUUUUAUCUGUUGGAUUUAUUUUACCUGUUCUGUCUGCCCUUGGGGAGGUGGCUUUACAGGAAAAUCUUUAAGCCGUUCGUAACUCAGCAGGUAUUCAUUCAGGUUAUCAGAUUUUCUAUUUCGGUUAUGUUAGAAAUGGUGACAAGCACAUAUUACUUACAGAACGGCUGAUUUAACUUCCAGUUUCGGUGAAAAUGCUUUUGAAUUAAAAAUCGAAAUUUAAUUUAAAAAUCAAGCAAGCAGCAGCUUAAAGUUAUUGGUUAAAAGCUGUCUUGAAACACUUUAGUUGCAUCAGAAGGAAAAGCGGUGAGUUUACCCAGUUAUGUCUGACUACGACAAGGACCGCAGCUACGAAGGAAGGGAAGUUCGCCGAAGCGCUUGGCUCGUGCCGCGGUACCCGCCGCAGUUUGGAGCGAACGGGACUCAGCCCCUCACGCCUCCUUUGCAUGGAGAAACCAAACUUUCUUGCUUUUUCAACUCCCAGCUGGUUUCUCAGCGUUGAAUGACCUACUCGCUGGACACAGCCAGGCUGAAACUCGCACGCGGAGUGUUCUUUUCUCCGUGUUCCUGCAGAAGAAAGAGCUACUACCCAAAGCAGAGCUCAUUUAUGCCUUUAGCUGUCCAGCUUCUGGGGGAAUAAAUUCCUCAGGCCACUUGCUUGACUUUCUUUAUAUCAUCAGCAAAGAUGUGCUAUUUGAAAAGUAUACGAAUAAUUUAUAUAAAACUUUAAAUAGCUGACUUAUGCCUCAGCAUAAGCUGUUAUUUCAGAUUUACUUCCUAGAUUUAUUUUUAAAGGAAACACACAUGUUAAAUAAUCUGCUUUUUUCCUUAAAUCUCUAUUUCUUCUAUUGUAGAGACACUUAAAUUCCAGGAAAUAAUUUGAUGCUGCAAUUUGAACUAGAGGAAAACAGCAAAAGUUUUGUAUUCAAGGCUAUGAUCUUGGACAACUCUCAAAAGGAAACAUAGAAAAUAUAUCUCAGGAAAAGGCAGCCUGAAAUUAGAAUAGUUGUUAAUACAAAUAUACAGGACAGAUUUAGAUUUUAGUUUUAACCCUGGUGCUAUUUUUAUACUAUAAAGAAGCUAAAAUGGGAAGUCUUUUAUGUCAUGAAAAUCCAGAUAUAAACAAUUCCUUUUUGAUUUCUAAAGCAGAUUUUUCUGUUGAGGAAGACUUAUGAUUUUUAAAUUUGCUUAAUCUCUAUUAUUAUUAUUAUUAUUGUAGUAAUAAAUUACCUUUAAAAUGAGAUGCACUUGGCCUAAGACUUUGGCACAUGGAGUAGAAGCAUUCACUUUUAAUUAUUAGGCUGUGGAACUAAACCCUGUCAUUUUCCCUCUAUUGAGUAGAUCUAUUCAAAAAGACCUGAAAAUGGGAUGGAAGCGGAGCUGACCUACGAGCCAGGGCAAGAACAGAAGAAGCCACAGCGCUUGUGAGCUCACCGAGGUGACUGAUAGCUGCUGCAGGAGCCGGCGGCCCCGCGAAGGCGCAGGGGGUGAGCCGGGACAGGGAAGGUGAGGACGGGGUGGGAUGGGAGCUCGUCUCUCCCGGUUGAGCGCGGCCACCUGAGCAAGCCAGUGAUGAUGUAUUUAGAAAAGAAUCUGGUAUGAAGCCGAAAGGCAGCUUCUUAAAUUGAGUAAAUUACAUUUGUAUUAAAAAAAAAAAAAAGAACUUGUAAAUCGCAUAUUCACACAACGGAGCACGCGAGCGAGCGAGCUCUCAUACGAAACCCAGAUGUUCAUUAGAAACAUGAAUUUUUCUUCCUUGCUGCUACCAUGAAAAGUAAAACUGGGAAAAAAGUCAGCUGUGGUGAAGGGGUAUAAAGGCGUGAGUUAAGUCUACAAAAUCCAGGAAAGUUCCCGUUAAGGCUAAAAAUCUGGGGUGCUGUUGUAGUCUUUUAAUUUGGACCCAAGGUAUAAAUUAAAGCCAGAGUAUCAGGUCAGGUGCUCAAGCUCUCAGCCCUUAGCUGUGGAAUUUCCAGGUUAAGUUACGUAAAUUUUCCUGUUGCUGGAUAAAGCUAAAAUCCUGUGUGCCAUAUAUUUGCUCAUCAUAAAAUGUUCUCUCCUAGCCAGUAACAGCUUCUUUGUUGGCGAAGCCUGUCUGGUUUAUGAGCUUCCCAGCCUUUGUAGAGCGUACUGGGAGUUAAGAACUUCCACAUGGCGCUUGCUCUAAGGCUUUUGUGAAUAAGCAAAGCAAAGCGCUUGCUCUAGGUCCAGCAAAUGCAUCGAAUAUGGUUUGAAUUCUCUGUUUUUAAAUGCAAAGGAUAAUAUUGAUUUUGUUAAGGUAAAUGUCUUUAAUUGUGCGCUAUAUAAACGCGACUCUUACUGAGACAUAAUGGGCUCCGGGCAUUCUUCCAGCACAGCAGUAUGAAAAUGUAUCUUUUCGUCUCUCCAGUAGAGAAAUGCAGAAUGAAGAUUUGGAUGAACAGAUAUUAAAUGUCUCUAAAAAGCAUAUACUGAUGUGGAAGGACAUUUACCCAGAUGGAAAUUAAUGCUGUGUUAAGGGCAAAGCUCUGGAUUGUUUAGUGUGUUUUACUGAGGUGGUGCUGGUGGGAAUAGAAAACUGAGGGGAAAAUAGACAGUAAGAGAAGACGAAGAUGUUAAUAAAAUUGUCACUGCAUGACUCAGUCUAUCUCGUCUACAGAAACGGGCUGGGCCCUUGAUGCACAGGGUCUCGCGGCCCGCGUGAAGCAGCAGCCACACUCCGGACCCCUCCUGCACAUCCCCUGCGUGAGUAGUCAGGAGGGGGAGGGCAAGACUAGCAAGUGGGUGACUCACCCACUUGGUAUUAGUUUAUCAAAGGCAAUAAAGAUAUUUAAGACUAGACCAAUCACUCAUGCAGCAGAUGAUAUCCUUUCAUUU
Non-coding RNA from Phalacrocorax carbo (great cormorant), 4646 nucleotides. The record is from RefSeq and is a predicted model, not a curated record. Lineage: Eukaryota; Metazoa; Chordata; Aves; Suliformes; Phalacrocoracidae.